Molecule: ribosomal RNA, 920 nt
Filed under: uncultured Bacteroidota bacterium
Lineage: Bacteria; Pseudomonadati; Bacteroidota
Description: bacterial SSU rRNA
Rfam family: Bacterial small subunit ribosomal RNA
Source: RNAcentral
GGCCAGACUUUGAUUAUGGCUCACGAUGAACGCUAGCUACAGGCCUAACACAUGCAAGUCGAGGGGAAACGGCAGCUUAGCUUGCUAAGCUGGACGUCGACCGGCGCACGGGUGAGUAACGCGUAUCCAACCUGCCCCACGGUGAGGGAUAACCCGCGGAAACGCGGCCUAAUACCUCAUGGUCUCCGAGUUUGCCAUCAACCUUGGAGUAAAGAUUCAUUGCCGUGGGAUGGGGAUGCGUCUGAUUAGCUUGUUGGCGGGGCAACGGCCCACCAAGGCAACGAUCAGUAGGGGUUCUGAGAGGAAAGCCCCCCACAUUGGAACUGAGACACGGUCCAAACUCCUACGGGAGGCAGCAGUGAGGAAUAUUGGUCAAUGGGCGAGAGCCUGAACCAGCCAAGUAGCGUGCAGGACGACGGCCCUAUGGGUUGUAAACUGCUUUUAUGCGGGGAUAAAGCGGGCGACGUGUCGCCCUUUGCAGGUACCGCAUGAAUAAGGACCGGCUAAUUCCGUGCCAGCAGCCGCGGUAAUACGGAAGGUCCGGGCGUUAUCCGGAUUUAUUGGGUUUAAAGGGAGCGCAGGCCGGGUAUUAAGCGUGUUGUGAAAUGUAGGCGCCCAACGUCUGCACCGCAGCGCGAACUGGUGCCCUUGAGUACGCACGACGUUGGCGGAAUUCGCCGUGUAGCGGUGAAAUGCUUAGAUAUGGCGAAGAACUCCGAUUGCGAAGGCAGCUGACGGGAGCGCUACUGACGCUCAUGCUCGAAAGCGCGGGUAUCGAACAGGAUUAGAUACCCUGGUAGUCCGCGCGGUAAACGAUGGAUGCCCGCUAUUUGCGCAUUAGCGCAAGUGGCCAAGUGAAAACGUUAAGCAUCCCACCUGGGGAGUACGCCGGCAACGGUGCAACUCAAAGGAAUUGACGG